GCUGGCAAGUUAGAUUUUUUGCACAGUGACCAGUGCACUAACUUUGCCACUCUGUCAUGUCUAAUUCUGUAAUCUGUUUGUGCAAUCUUUGGACAUUCGCAGGCGAGGUGUGACACAGUUUCAUCUUUUUCUCGGCAGAGUCAACAUUUGCUGUUAGCACUAAUUCCUUGGAUCUUAGCUUCCCUCACGUUGGUUUGGAUACGCUUGUUCUUGUGCAGCAAAAAUCAAGCCUUCAGUUUCUUUCUUAAGGGUCCCCGGUUUUUGUUAUAUUAUUAUUAUCAUUAUUAAAGGACAAGUGAGAGAAGGGGCUUGAGGGAAUCCAAGGAAAGGCUGUUCCAAGUGCAAACCAUUGCCCAGCAAAUGACACCCAUACAUCACACACACACACACACACACACACAGAGAGAGAGAGAGAGAGAGAGAGAGAGAGAGAGAGGCUGCCAGCUACCCCAAGGAAAGAGCAAAUUCCAUCUUCACAGUUGCUAGGUAACCGCAUCCUGCCUCCCGCAGGCCCCUCAGCCAAUGGGUGCUUGUUCAGGUGAUGUCAUGCUCUUUGCCCACACAUCAUUGGCUGGGUCCUGAGCUCUCUUUUUCAUCUUCUGCCAGAGGAUGCUGGCGAGUUACCUGGGAGAAGUCCAGCCCUCCCACCAGAGGUUUCCAAAGAGAAGGGCCAGUAUCCUUCCCCUGGUCACGAUUCCCAGACAUCCCGGAUCCUCCGCAGACAGAAAGAUUCCUCAGGCCCGGUCCGUCUCCACGGGAGAGGCUGUGGCCCUGCGGCUGCAUCUCCUGCCCAGAUGGAAAUACCGCUGGCAGUACCUGAACUAUCAUUACCUGGGCAAGAGGCCACAUCGUUUCCUGUCGCUGAACUUCUGAGCUAAAUCCCCAAAGAUGAUGCAGGUAGGUAGAAGAAAGCUCUGCCUUCAGUUGCAACAACCCCCUGGGGGUGGGUGGGGGAACAGAUGGCAGCAGGAAAAUCUCUGGGGUAAAUGGCUUGCAAGAACCAGGAGGGCGAAGGUGAUAAAGCUGCGGGGAAGGUCCUGGGCUCCUACAGCCUGCCCCUGUAUCCGUACAUAGUGACAGAGCCGUCUGUCUGU
RNAcentral lists this long non-coding RNA (1094 nucleotides) under Pogona vitticeps (central bearded dragon). Its description in RNAcentral is "lncRNA (ENSPVIG00000013759.1)". The record is from RNAcentral. Lineage: Eukaryota; Metazoa; Chordata; Lepidosauria; Squamata; Agamidae.